AAGCUUUGAUGGUGAAGUCAAAGA
RNAcentral lists this small nuclear RNA (24 nucleotides) under Arabidopsis thaliana (thale cress). Its description in RNAcentral is "snRNA_18750". Lineage: Eukaryota; Viridiplantae; Streptophyta; Magnoliopsida; Brassicales; Brassicaceae. The record is from RNAcentral.